This 675-nucleotide ribosomal RNA is filed under the name Bacillus sp. (in: firmicutes). RNAcentral describes it as "bacterial SSU rRNA". It matches the Rfam family "Bacterial small subunit ribosomal RNA", at positions 601 to 1276 of the family's 1533-position model. The record is from RNAcentral. Lineage: Bacteria; Bacillati; Bacillota; Bacilli; Caryophanales; Bacillaceae.
UUAUGGACCCAUCCGCCGAAGGGGGGGCAGAUGAUUGGGGUGAAGUCGUAGCAGGGGAGCCGAUAGGAAUUCCACGUGUAGCGGUGAAAUGCGUAGAGAUGUGGAGGAACACCAGUGGCGAAGGCGACUCUCUGGUCUGUAACUGACGCUGAGGAGCGAAAGCGUGGGGAGCGAACAGGAUUAGAUACCCUGGUAGUCCACGCCGUAAACGAUGAGUGCUAAGUGUUAGGGGGUUUCCGCCCCUUAGUGCUGCAGCUAACGCAUUAAGCACUCCGCCUGGGGAGUACGGUCGCAAGACUGAAACUCAAAGGAAUUGACGGGGGCCCGCACAAGCGGUGGAGCAUGUGGUUUAAUUCGAAGCAACGCGAAGAACCUUACCAGGUCUUGACAUCCUCUGACAACCCUAGAGAUAGGGCUUUCCCUUCGGGGACAGAGUGACAGGUGGUGCAUGGUUGUCGUCAGCUCGUGUCGUGAGAUGUUGGGUUAAGUCCCGCAACGAGCGCAACCCUUGAUCUUAGUUGCCAGCAUUCAGUUGGGCACUCUAAAGUGACUGCCGGUGACAAACCGGAGGAAGUGGGGAUGACGUCAAAUCAUCAUGCCCCUUAUGACCUGGCUACACACGUGCUACAAUGGACAGAACAAAGGGCUGCAGACCGCAACGUUUAGCCAAUCCCA